This 1067-nucleotide ribosomal RNA is filed under the name Priestia flexa. RNAcentral's name for it is "bacterial SSU rRNA". It matches the Rfam family "Bacterial small subunit ribosomal RNA", at positions 60 to 1085 of the family's 1533-position model. Lineage: Bacteria; Bacillati; Bacillota; Bacilli; Caryophanales; Bacillaceae. The record is from RNAcentral.
UGCCAGCUACAGCUCGUAGAGUUUGUGCCUGGCAUCAGAUUAAAACCUUGCUUCUAUGACGUUAGCGGCGGACGGGUGAGUAACACGUGGGCAACCUGCCUGUAAGACUGGGAUAACUCCGGGAAACCGGAGCUAAUACCGGAUAACAUUUUUUCUUGCAUAAGAGAAAAUUGAAAGAUGGUUUCGGCUAUCACUUACAGAUGGGCCCGCGGUGCAUUAGCUAGUUGGUGAGGUAACGGCUCACCAAGGCAACGAUGCAUAGCCGACCUGAGAGGGUGAUCGGCCACACUGGGACUGAGACACGGCCCAGACUCCUACGGGAGGCAGCAGUAGGGAAUCUUCCGCAAUGGACGAAAGUCUGACGGAGCAACGCCGCGUGAGUGAUGAAGGCUUUCGGGUCGUAAAACUCUGUUGUUAGGGAAGAACAAGUACAAGAGUAACUGCUUGUACCUUGACGGUACCUAACCAGAAAGCCACGGCUAACUACGUGCCAGCAGCCGCGGUAAUACGUAGGUGGCAAGCGUUAUCCGGAAUUAUUGGGCGUAAAGCGCGCGCAGGCGGUUUCUUAAGUCUGAUGUGAAAGCCCACGGCUCAACCGUGGAGGGUCAUUGGAAACUGGGGAACUUGAGUGCAGAAGAGAAAAGCGGAAUUCCACGUGUAGCGGUGAAAUGCGUAGAGAUGUGGAGGAACACCAGUGGCGAAGGCGGCUUUUUGGUCUGUAACUGACGCUGAGGCGCGAAAGCGUGGGGAGCAAACAGGAUUAGAUACCCUGGUAGUCCACGCCGUAAACGAUGAGUGCUAAGUGUUAGAGGGUUUCCGCCCUUUAGUGCUGCAGCUAACGCAUUAAGCACUCCGCCUGGGGAGUACGGUCGCAAGACUGAAACUCAAAGGAAUUGACGGGGGCCCGCACAAGCGGUGGAGCAUGUGGGUUUAAAUUCGAGCAACGCGAAGAACCCUACCAGGUCUUGACAUCCUCUGACACUCUAGAGAUAAGCGUUCCCCUUCCGGGGGACAAUGACAGUGGUGCAUGGUUGUCUUCAGCUCCUGGCCUGAGAUUUGGGUUAAGU